GCGAUAUCAAAACCUUCAACUUCAAAGCCCUCAAACGAAAAAACCACCAAGAAAAACGACAUGGAGCUCUUGAAAUCUGAGGUGGCCACUUUUGCUUCCUCUCUCGGCCUCUCUUCUUCUUCUCUCCCCCUCCUCUGGUUUCAAUGAUGCCGAUUUUCGAAAAUCGGGUCCUUUGAAGAAACCAAAAUCCUCAAAGCAAAAAACCC
Molecule: unclassified non-coding RNA, 206 nt
Filed under: Hevea brasiliensis (rubber tree)
Lineage: Eukaryota; Viridiplantae; Streptophyta; Magnoliopsida; Malpighiales; Euphorbiaceae
Source: RNAcentral